ACUAAAUCAUGAAAAUUUGGCUAAUGGCCUAGGGGUAAAAGCAAGGAGGGGUAUUUAAAAACAUGCACUUGGGCCAAAAGAAUUGCUCGAGUCCAAAGGCCAAAGCUCUACAUCUUCAAACACCAACCGGGUUUACCAAGCCAAGAAAUCAACCAAGGUAUCAAGAAAACAAGCAUCCAAAUUCAAACUAGAUGCAAAAUUCAGGUCAAACGCGAAGACUCACCCUCGGCGCCGGAAGAUCCCUCUCAGUGGCCGCGCAAGCAAACGCGAAUCCGUGUCUUGUGCUCUGUUGUUGAUGCGUGAUGAGGACUUUGUGUUGUUGAUGGUUAUGAAGAGCUUCAUGUUAUUGAUGACGAAGAGUGAAUGAGUGUUCUUGUUGUUGAUGACAAAGAGUGAAGGAGUGUUCUUGAGUAUGGAAAUCGUUGAACCCUCUUCUUCAAUUCUUUUCUACUAUUUUGUUCUCUUCGCCCUCCCCAAAAAAUCCGUGAGUUUCUUUUUCCUUCUUUUCUGUUAGAAAAUCUCAUCUACUCUCUGUUUUUGUUUCCGUUAGGAUGCCCUCCCCUUUUGUGAAUUCGGUUUCAGUCGAUUUUGUGGUUCUCUUGGUCAGUAGGGUUAGGAGUUCCCGUUCAGAAUCAAAGAGGUUUCAAGCCGUUGAGGGUUCUAAUUAUGUUGGUUUUGUUUUUGGAGGUUGGGGAGUGAAGUAGAGGGAGUUGAAAUUCGGUUUGAGGUUCUCUUGAUGGAAGGUUCCUCGAAGGGUUGUUGGAGUGUAUUGGUUUUUGCGGUUCCUUUCAGUUAUGGGUUGUGUGGAGGUUCUUUCUGUUAUGGAAGGUUGUUAGUAGGUUGAAGAAUAAAGGAGUUUGUUCGAGUUUGGAUUUGUUUAGAAGGGGUUGUUAGUUGGAGGGAGCAGUUAGAGUUGGUUCGAGUGAGGGUAGUUUGUGGGAGGUUACGGUUUCUGUUAGAGACAGUCGGGGUCGGUUCUGAAUCGGAGUUAUCAAUGUUGAGGUUCAAAAUUAUUUUGGAAGCAGUUAGGAGCUAUUGGUUGGAAAAGUUUCUGUUUUGGACGGGGAUUGUGAAUGGUUGAAAAUUGUUGUGAAUCCCUCUUGUGCAAAUCUAUUAUGGAUUUUUUUGAAGGUGUAUCCAUCAUUCCAGAGCUCCAACAUUGUUGUUGCGAGAUCUUGGAGCCUUUUUGAUGCUUAAAGAAUGGUUCCGAAGAAUUUCCUCGGAUUAACUCACAAGAAUGAUGGUCGAAGAGGUAAUGCAGUUGACUGCUUCCAAGCAGCUUAAAAUAUUUCCUUCUUGUCAUAAGCAAUAUUUUCAUGGUAAAACUGUAUAGAAAAAACUAGCUAGUGUUCAUCUGUUUGAUAUUGUUGUAAUUUUCAUUGUAAUGUAAUAUUUAUUAUAAUGAAUGGAAUUUGUAAUGUAAUUUUGAAAUAGAAUGGAUUUGUGAUGGUAAUUAGAACUCACAUUGUAUUUGAAUGGUUCGAAUGGGAAUUCAAUGUAUAUGAAAUGGUUUAUAAUGGAAAUGGUGAAUUGAAAUGAA
Lathyrus oleraceus (garden pea) is the source of this 1540-nucleotide long non-coding RNA. RefSeq lists it as uncharacterized. The transcript has 2 exons. Lineage: Eukaryota; Viridiplantae; Streptophyta; Magnoliopsida; Fabales; Fabaceae. The record is from RefSeq and is a predicted model, not a curated record.